AUUGAACGCUGGCGGCGUGCUUAACACAUGCAAGUCGAACGNGAAAGGGANUUCGGNCCNGANUAAAGUGGCGCACGGGUGAGUAACGCGUGGAUAAUCUGCCCUUAUGAUUGGAAUAACAGUUGGAAACGGCUGCUAAUACCGGAUACGCUCAAAAUGAACUUUUUGAGGAAANNUGNCCUCUGCUUGCAUGNUANNGCAUGANGAUGAGUCCGCGUCCCAUUAGCUUGUUGGNNGGGUAACGGCCNACCAAGGCAACGAUGGGUAGCCGAUUUGAGAGGAUGAUCGGCCACACUGGAACUGAAACACGGUCCAGACUCCUACGGGAGGCAGCAGUGGGGAAUAUUGCGCAAUGGGCGAAAGCCNGACGCAGCGACGCCGCGUGAGGGAUGAAGGUUUUCGGAUCGUAAACCUCUGUCAGAAGGGAAGAAAC
This 433-nucleotide ribosomal RNA is filed under the name uncultured bacterium. RNAcentral's name for it is "partial 16S ribosomal RNA". It matches the Rfam family "Bacterial small subunit ribosomal RNA", at positions 30 to 451 of the family's 1533-position model. The record is from RNAcentral.